UGCAGUCGAGCGGAUGAGGGAGCUUGCUCCUGGAGUUAGCGGCGGACGGGUGAGUAAAGCCUAGGAAUCUGCCUGGUAGUGGGGGACAACGACUCGAAAGGGUCGCUAAUACCGCAUACGUCCUACGGGAGAAAGUGGGGGAUCUUCGGACCUCACGCUAUCAGAUGAGCCUAGGUCGGAUUAGCUUGUAGGUGAGGUAAUGGCUCACCUAGGCAACGAUCCGUAACUGGUCUGAGAGGAUGAUCAGUCACACUGGAACUGAGACACGGUCCAGACUCCUACGGGAGGCAGCAGUGGGGAAUAUUGGACAAUGGGCGAAAGCCUGAUCCAGCCAUGCCGCGUGUGUGAAGAAGGUCUUCGGAUUGUAAAGCACUUUAAGUUGGGAGGAAGGGUUGUAGUUUAAUACGCUGCAAUUUUGACGUUACCAACAGAAUAAGCACCGGCUAACUCUGUGCCAGCAGCCGCGGUAAUACAGAGGGUGCAAGCGUUAAUCGGAAUUACUGGGCGUAAAGCGCGCGUAGGCGGCUUGAUAAGAUGGGUGUGAAAUCCCCGGGCUUAACCUGGGAACUGCAUCCAUAACUGUCUGGCUAGAGUACAGUAGAGGGUGGUGGAAUUUCCUGUGUAGCG
RNAcentral lists this ribosomal RNA (627 nucleotides) under uncultured bacterium. RNAcentral describes it as "bacterial SSU rRNA". It matches the Rfam family "Bacterial small subunit ribosomal RNA", at positions 56 to 680 of the family's 1533-position model. The record is from RNAcentral.